ACGCUGGCGGCGUGCCUAAUACAUGCAAGUCGAGCGGACUUGCUGGAGCUUGCUCCAGCAGGUUAGCGGCGGACGGGUGAGUAACACGUGGGCAACCUGCCUGUAAGACUGGGAUAACUCCGGGAAACCGGAGCUAAUACCGGAUAGUAUCUUGAACCGCAUGGUUCAAGUUGGAAAGACGGUUUCGGCUGUCACUUACAGAUGGGCCCGCGGCGCAUUAGCUAGUUGGUGAGGUAAUGGCUCACCAAGGCAACGAUGCGUAGCCGACCUGAGAGGGUGAUCGGCCACACUGGGACUGAGACACGGCCCAGACUCCUACGGGAGGCAGCAGUAGGGAAUCUUCCGCAAUGGACGAAAGUCUGACGGAGCAACGCCGCGUGAGUGAUGAAGGUUUUCGGAUCGUAAAACUCUGUUGUUAGGGAAGAACAAGUGCGAGAGUAACUGCUCGCACCUUGACGGUACCUAACCAGAAAGCCACGGCUAACUACGUGCCAGCAGCCGCGGUAAUACGUAGGUGGCAAGCGUUGUCCGGAAUUAUUGGGCGUAAAGCGCGCGCAGGCGGUUUCUUAAGUCUGAUGUGAAAGCCCCCGGCUCAACCGGGGAGGGUCAUUGGAAACUGGGAAACUUGAGUGCAGAAGAGGAGAGUGGAAUUCCACGUGUAGCGGUGAAAUGCGUAGAGAUGUGGAGGAACACCAGUGGCGAAGGCGACUCUCUGGUCUGUAACUGACGCUGAGGCGCGAAAGCGUGGGGAGCGAACAGGAUUAGAUACCCUGGUAGUCCACGCCGUAAACGAUGAGUGCUAAGUGUUAGAGGGUUUCCGCCCUUUAGUGCUGCAGCUAACGCAUUAAGCACUCCGCCUGGGGAGUACGGUCGCAAGACUGAAACUCAAAGGAAUUGACGGGGGCCCGCACAAGCGGUGGAGCAUGUGGUUUAAUUCGAAGCAACGCGAAGAACCUUACCAGGUCUUGACAUCCUUUGCCACUUCUAGAGAUAGAAGGUUCCCCUUCGGGGGACAAAGUGACAGGUGGUGCAUGGUUGUCGUCAGCUCGUCUCGUGAGAUGUUGGGUUAAGUCCCGCAACGA
Molecule: ribosomal RNA, 1082 nt
Filed under: Metabacillus idriensis
Lineage: Bacteria; Bacillati; Bacillota; Bacilli; Caryophanales; Bacillaceae
Description: bacterial SSU rRNA
Rfam family: Bacterial small subunit ribosomal RNA
Source: RNAcentral